This 1225-nucleotide long non-coding RNA is filed under the name Carica papaya (papaya). RNAcentral describes it as "long non-coding RNA (CPAP_LNC013904)". The record is from RNAcentral. Lineage: Eukaryota; Viridiplantae; Streptophyta; Magnoliopsida; Brassicales; Caricaceae.
AUUUCCAAAAUCUUUUAUUUUGUCUUCUUUUUCUAGCUAGCUACCAUGCAUAAAUACUAUAAUAUCAAAACCUAAAUUAGUUUUGGGAACUUACCUCAGUGAUUGCAGAUCAAUCUCCUUCUUCUCCUCUUCUCUUAUAUUCUAUAGAGAUAGGUUUUUAGACCAAAUUUUAGCAAAUACAUAACUAUAUAUGGGGUAACUAUCUACCUCAUAAUAAAAAUUCCAACAAUUUAUAUUAAAUUUAAAAUAAUCUAAAAUUUUAUAAAAUAAAUAGAUGAUACUCUUGGAUCUGUAAUUAAAUAAUAAUUAAUUAUUUGUUUGAACUGGGUAUUACAACAGGGUGAUGCUCAUUACAAAUACUUUCUUAAUAGCAUCCAACCAUUAUCCUUCAAGAAAUUAGACUACUCUCUAAGACAACGAGAGUUCUGUCUGAAGAUCCCAAUCAUAGGCUGUCAGGGCAAAACUCCAACAAGUAGGUUCACACAUGCUUGAAGACUUUUAGUUGACAAACUUGUGACUCAAUCCCAAAGCAACAUAACAGUAAAUAGUAAAUGAUAAUGGUGCUUUUCAGGGAAAGUUAACUUCUUUUCUUCCGAAUUAUGUGAUAAAGAUUGGAUAAAAUGGGAUUUUUUAUUAGUCCUGCUAAUAUUAUUAACUAAUUUGAUUAGGAAUAUCUUCUUGUAUCAGUCCUUUGCAAAAGUUGUGAAGUUAAAAUGAGAGAAAUGUCUUCUUGGUUCUGGGGAGUGGUGGAGAAAAUUACAAGGAUCAUAAGGAAUUUUUUUGGUUGGAUAUGGGUGCGGCUUCAGAAGAUUACUUGGUGAGAUGGGAUGUGUUUUCUAGAAAAGAUGGGGGUAUGAAUAUUGAGAUUAUGAUGUGUAAGAAUCUUUUUUUAUUGGUCAAGUUAUCAUGGUACUUUACAAUAAGAAAAAAAAAAUGAUUAUGGUUCCUCAGAAAAUGAAAAGGUGGAAUGAGAAUGGUACCUUAAAAAAAGGGGCCAAAUGAUUAUGGUGCUUUUCUUUGGGAUCUUUUUCUUUGUGGCACUCUCCACCAUCACUUAUGUUUCCUCACCUUGUCCCUCAAGGGAAUUGGAGCAAAGAAGGAAAUUAGGGUGUUCAAGAGAUGCAUUUUUCUCUCUAGUUUAUGGGUGUUUUGUUUGCAGUGCAAUGCUAAAUUCUUCAAGGAUUGCUACCUUACCUUCAUCUUUUUCUAAAAGGGAAUUUUUUUU